CAAUAGCGUAUAUUAAAGUUGUUGCAGUUAAAAAGCUCGUAGUUGGAUUUCGGGGUGGCCUGGCUGGUCCGCCGCAAGGUGAGUACUGGUCAGCCGCCCUUCCUCUCGAAAGCCCCGACUGCUCUUUACUGCAGUGGUCGGGUAGUUCGGGACGUUUACUUUGAAAAAAUUAGGGUGUUCAAGGCAGGCUAUCGCCUGAAUACAUUAGCAUGGAAUAAUGGAAGAGGACCUCGGUCCUAUUUUGUUGGUUUCUAGGGCCGAAGUAAUGAUUAAGAGGGACAGUUGGGGGCAUUCGUAUUUAAUUGUCAGAGGUGAAAUUCUUGGAUUUAUGAAAGACGAACUAGUGCGAAAGCAUUUGCCAAGGAUGUUUUCAUUAA
Molecule: ribosomal RNA, 377 nt
Filed under: uncultured eukaryote
Lineage: Eukaryota
Description: partial 18S ribosomal RNA
Rfam family: Eukaryotic small subunit ribosomal RNA
Source: RNAcentral